UACGUAGGGUGCGAGCGUUAAUCGGAAUUACUGGGCGUAAAGCGUGCGCAGGCGGUGAUGUAAGACCGAUGUGAAAUCCCCGGGCUUAACCUGGGAACUGCAUUGGUGACUGCAUUGCUGGAGUAUGGCAGAGGGGGGUGGAAUUCCACGUGUAGCAGUGAAAUGCGUAGAGAUGUGGAGGAACACCGAUGGCGAAGGCAGCCUCCUGGGCCAGCACUGACGCUCAUGCACGAAAGCGUGGGGAGCAAACAGG
Molecule: ribosomal RNA, 253 nt
Filed under: uncultured bacterium
Lineage: Bacteria
Description: partial 16S ribosomal RNA
Rfam family: Bacterial small subunit ribosomal RNA
Source: RNAcentral